Molecule: ribosomal RNA, 553 nt
Filed under: uncultured bacterium
Lineage: Bacteria
Description: partial 16S ribosomal RNA
Source: RNAcentral
GNGGCAGAGUGAAGGGGGGGGGGAGUCAGCUCGGUCUCGCGAAUGCNNCUAGAGUUAGUUUGAUCAUGGCUCAGAAUCAAUCGCUGGUGGCGUGCCGUCAGACAGUGCAGAGGUCUGAACGAGAAAGUUUCCGUUCGGGAGACGAGUAAAUGUGGCGCACUGGNGUGAGUAACACGGUUAGGGUAAGUCUACGCGUUCGUGGUGUGUGGGAAUUAGAUCCCUAUGGAGGAAACUUUGUGGCGUAACACCGCGAUUAAAGUGCAGCGGGCACCACAUGGGUGACAGGUUUGUUAAAACGCCGGGGGGGGAUUUUCGGGAACCCUCGCGCCCGUGAAAAGAGGGAGCCUAGCGGNCCGGCAUAUAAGCCUAAGAGAUAGGGAGAAGGGGAAAACGGGCGUCACCAAAGGUGGACCGAAAUCCCGGAACGCCGGGGCCCUUGAAGAAGGGGGCCGGGGUCCNGAGGCCAACCACGAGGAACCANCUUAGAACNAGUAAACCGGGGGGACAAGAAAGUAACCGAAACGGAGGGAAGAGGCCANGAGCAAAGGCUCNA